RNAcentral lists this ribosomal RNA (196 nucleotides) under uncultured bacterium. RNAcentral describes it as "partial 16S ribosomal RNA". It matches the Rfam family "Bacterial small subunit ribosomal RNA", at positions 335 to 524 of the family's 1533-position model. The record is from RNAcentral.
ACUCCUACGGGAGGCAGCAGUCGGGAAUCUUCCGCAAUGAGCGAAAGCCUGACGGAGCGACGCCGCGUGAGCGAUGAAGGCCUUCGGGUUGUAGAGCUCUGUGGGGAGAGAAGAAUAAGUUUAGGCGAAUACCCUGAAUGAUGACGGUAUCUCCUUAGCAAGCACCGGCUAACUCUGUGCCAGCAGCCGCGGUAAU